Molecule: ribosomal RNA, 774 nt
Filed under: uncultured Neocallimastigales
Lineage: Eukaryota; Fungi; Neocallimastigomycota; Neocallimastigomycetes; Neocallimastigales
Description: partial large subunit ribosomal RNA
Rfam family: Eukaryotic large subunit ribosomal RNA
Source: RNAcentral
CGCAUCUGUGCAUGCAGCAUAUCAAUAAGCGGAGGAAAAGAAACUAACAAGGAUUCCCCUAGUAACGGCGAGUGAAGCGGGAAGAGCUCAAAUUUGAAAUCUUAAAGGGUUUCCCUUUACGAAUUGUAGUUUAAAGAAGUGUUUUCUGUUGAGGUUUUGGUAAAAGUUCUUUGGAAUAGGACAUCAUAGAGGGUGAGAAUCCCGUAUUUGACCUUUACUUUCAACUUUGUGAUACACUUUCAAAGAGUCGGAUUGUUUGGGAAUGCAGUCCAAAAUGGGUGGUAAAUUUCAUCUAAAGCUAAAUAUUGGCGAGAGACCGAUAGCGAACAAGUACCGUGAGGGAAAGAUGAAAAGAACUUUGAAAAGAGAGUUAAACAGUACGUGAAAUUGUCAAAAGGGAAGCGUUUGACACCAGUGUUGUUUUUCUGAAAAUCAAUUAAAGAACUGUUUAUGCUAAGCUGUUUAGACUUUAUCAGCUAACUGUUUAGUUUUGAGCUUUUCUUUAAUGCACUUUUCAGUUAACAAGUCAACAUCAAUUUCUUUUGCUGUAAAAAAGCUUGAGGAAGGUGGCUUGAGAUUCGUCUUAAGUGUUUAUAGCCUCUUGCCUAUGCAGUCGGAGAGAUAGAGGUCUGCAGCGUAGAUCCUUCGGGGCUAAAUGCAUUUGUGCUAAGUUAUAGCAUUUUAUAGACAACUUGUUGACUAUGAUUUGUCUUGUAGCUUACUCGCUUAUGUUAUUUUACCUACGCUUAGGAUGUUGAGCGCAUGUCUCUCUCU